GCCCAGACUCCUACGGGAGGCAGCAGUGGGGAAUAUUGCGCAAUGGGGGCAACCCUGACGCAGCAACGCCGCGUGAUUGAAGAAGGCCUUCGGGUUGUAAAGCUCUUUAAUCAGGGACGAAAAAUGACGGUACCCGACCAAGAAGCCCCGGCUAACUACGUGCCAGCAGCCGCGGUAAUACGCAGGGGGCGAGCGUUAUCCGGAAUUACUGGGUGUAAAGGGAGCGUAGACGGCGAGGUAAGCCUGAAGUGGAAGCCCGCGGCCCAACCGCGGAACUGCUUUGGGAACUGUUUUGCUGGAGUAUGGGAGGGGUAAGCGGAAUUCCUGGUGUAGCGGUGAAAUGCGUAGAUAUCAGGAGGAACACCGGUGGCGAAGGCGGCUUACUGGACGAUCACUGACGCUGAGGCUCGAAAGUGUGGGGAGCAAACAGGAUUAGAUACCCUAGUA
RNAcentral lists this ribosomal RNA (447 nucleotides) under uncultured bacterium. Its description in RNAcentral is "bacterial SSU rRNA". It matches the Rfam family "Bacterial small subunit ribosomal RNA", at positions 329 to 792 of the family's 1533-position model. The record is from RNAcentral.